GAUGAACGCUAGCGAUAGGCUUAACACAUGCAAGUCGAGGGGCAGCAUGGUCUUAGCUUGCUAAGACUGAUGGCGACCGGCGCACGGGUGCGUAACGCGUAUGCAACUUGCCUCACAGAGGGGGAUAACCCGUCGAAAGACGGACGAAUACCGCGUACACUCCAUCUUGGGCAUCCAAGGUAGAGGAAAUGAAAUUCGCUGUGAGAUAGGCAUGCGUCCCAUUAGCUAGUUGGUGAGGUAACGGCCCCCCAAGGCGACGAUGGGUAGGGGAACUGAGAGGGUGCACCCCCACACUGGUGCUGAGGCCCGGACCCGACUCCUACGGGAGGCAGCCGUGAGGAAUAUUGGUCGAUGGGCGGGGGCCUGAACCGGCCAAGUCGCGUGAAGGAUGCCUGUCUUAUGGAUUGUAAACUUCUUUUAUACGGGAAUAACAAGAGUCACGUGUGACUCCCUGCAUGUACCGGAUGAAUAAGCAUCGGCUAACUCCGUG
Molecule: ribosomal RNA, 490 nt
Filed under: uncultured bacterium
Lineage: Bacteria
Description: partial 16S ribosomal RNA
Rfam family: Bacterial small subunit ribosomal RNA
Source: RNAcentral